GAGUACUGGAAGGUAUCGUUGAAGAUAUUAGAGUCGAAUCACCCACUUCAUCGUCGAGACGUUAAUUAGCAGAUAAUUCAUUUACAAAAAAGAAUCGAACUUAUUUCCGUGUUAUUAUUAAUUUGCAAAGUUUGAUCGCGAUUUUCGGUCAAAAGAUACGAUGAUACUUCGGAUAAGAUGGCAGAGCGGUAAUUGCGGAUACAUUUCAAAAAUUACCUAUGCUUACCGGCUAGUUUCUUGCAAUAUCCAUUGAGACAAGGAAGUCACUUGAUCGUUCAAGCGGAAUCUUUUCUUCUUAAAGGCCAGUAUAAUAUGCUCAAAUA
Bombus terrestris (buff-tailed bumblebee) is the source of this 323-nucleotide long non-coding RNA. RefSeq lists it as uncharacterized. The transcript is spliced from 2 exons. The record is from RefSeq and is a predicted model, not a curated record. Lineage: Eukaryota; Metazoa; Arthropoda; Insecta; Hymenoptera; Apidae.